This 497-nucleotide ribosomal RNA is filed under the name uncultured bacterium. RNAcentral's name for it is "partial 16S ribosomal RNA". It matches the Rfam family "Bacterial small subunit ribosomal RNA", at positions 28 to 507 of the family's 1533-position model. The record is from RNAcentral.
GAUGAACGCUGGCGGCGUGCCUAAUACAUGCAAGUCGAGCGAACAGACGAGGAGCUUGCUCCUCUGACGUUAGCGGCGGACGGGUGAGUAACACGUGGAUAACCUACCUAUAAGACUGGGAUAACUUCGGGAAACCGGAGCUAAUACCGGAUAAUAUAUUGAACCGCAUGGUUCAAUAGUGAAAGACGGUUUUGCUGUCACUUAUAGAUGGAUCCGCGCCGCAUUAGCUAGUUGGUAAGGUAACGGCUUACCAAGGCAACGAUGCGUAGCCGACCUGAGAGGGUAAUCGGCCACACUGGAACUGAGACACGGUCCAGACUCCUACGGGAGGCAGCAGUAGGGAAUCUUCCGCAAAGGGCGAAAGCCUGACGGAGCAACGCCGCGUGAGUGAUGAAGGUCUUCGGAUCGUAAAACUCUGUUAUUAGGGAAGAACAAAUGUGUAAGUAACUAUGCACGUCUUGACGGUACCUAAUCAGAAAGCCACGGCUAACUACGUG